Molecule: long non-coding RNA, 1128 nt
Filed under: Homo sapiens (human)
Lineage: Eukaryota; Metazoa; Chordata; Mammalia; Primates; Hominidae
Description: HSALNT0126195
Source: RNAcentral
GUCUUUUGUCAGGAGAUGAGUUACUGAGGAUUGGGGGUCUUUGGAGCUCUUGGACCUGAAGAACGAUUAAGUUUUUCUCCCUUCAGAGAGCCAAGACAGGUUCUCAACCUGUAGCCCAGGCUGGAGUGCAGUGGCGCGAUCAUAGCUAACUGCAGCCUGGAACCCCUGGGCUCAAGCGAUCCUCCCGCCUCAGCCCCCCGUGGAGCUGGGACUACAAGUGCACACCACCACGCCUGGCUAAUUUUUAUUUUUUGGUAGAGACAGGGUCUUGCUGUGUUGCUUAGGCUGGUCUUGAACUCCUGGGCUCAAGCGAUCGUCCCUCUUUGGCCUCUCAAAGCCCUCAGAUUACAGGUGUGAGCCACUGUGCCUGGCUAAUUUUUAUAUUUUUUGUAAAGAUGAGGUUUUCCUAUGUUGUCCAGGCUGGUCUUGAACCCCUGGGCUCAAGCAAUCCUCUAGCCUCUGCUUCCCAAAGCGAUGUGAGCUCCCCCCCGCCGCCGCCCAGCGCCAUGCCAGGCCAACCAAGGGCUUGUCUCCUUCCCUUUGGUAUUGUAAGGUGAGGUUUAUGUAGGUAUACUUGUCAAACUCUCAAUUUCAGACCCGCUGUGAUCUUUUUGAGACGGAGCCUUUCUCUGUCGCCCAAGCUGGAGUGCAGUGGCGCGAUCUCGGCUCACUGUAACCUCCGCCUCCCGGGUUCAAGCGAUUCUCCUGCCUCAGCCUCCCGAGUAGCUGGGACUACAGCUGCGCGCCACCAUGCCCGGCUAAUUUUUGUAUUUUUAGUAUAGACGGGGUUUUGCAAUGUUGGCGACGCUGGUGUCGAACUCCUGACUUCAGGUGAUCCCGCCUGCCUCAGCCUCCCAAAGUGCUAGGGUUACAGGCGUGAGCCACCAUGCCCUGCCAGACCCGCUAUGUUCUUUGGAGUUAGUGCAGAGUUCCCCAACUCCUUGGCUGCUGACGGGUGUUGGUCUGUUGCCUGUUAGGAACCCAUUGGCACAUGAGGUGAGCAGGGCGAGCCAACGAAGUGUCAUCUGUAUUUACAGCCGCUCCCCAUCUCUGGCAUUACGGCCUGAGCUCUGCCUCCUGUCCAAUCAGUGGGGGCAUUAGAGUCUCAUAGGAAAGUGAACCCUAUUG